CCUACGGGUGACAGCAGUGGGGGAUAUUGCGCAAUGGGGGGAACCCUGAUGCAGCGACGCCGCGUGGGUGAAGAAGCGCUUCGGCGCGUAAAGCCCUGUCAGCAGGGAAGAAAAUGACGAUACCUGCAGAAGAAUCCCCGGCUAACUACUUGCCAGCAGCCGCGGUAAUACGUAGGGGGCUAGCGUGAUCCGGCUUUACUGGGGGUAAAGGGGGCGCAGACGGCGAUGCAAGCCAGGAGGGAAAGACCGGGGCCCCACCCCGGGACUGCUCUUGGAACUGAGUGGCUGGAGUGCAGGAGGGGCAGGCGGAAUUCCUGGUGUAGCGGUGAAAUGCGUAGAUAUCAGGAGGAACACCGGUGGCGAAGGCGGCAUGCUGGACUGCAACUGACGUUGAGGCCCGAAAGCGUGGGGAGCAAACAGGAUUAGAUACCCCGGUAGUC
RNAcentral lists this ribosomal RNA (440 nucleotides) under uncultured bacterium. RNAcentral describes it as "partial 16S ribosomal RNA". It matches the Rfam family "Bacterial small subunit ribosomal RNA", at positions 338 to 795 of the family's 1533-position model. The record is from RNAcentral.